CACAAAAAUGCACAUGCUGUGAGCUCGAUGAGUAGGGCGGGACACGUGGUAUCCUGUCUGAAUAUGGGGGGACCAUCCUCCAAGGCUAAAUACUCCUGACUGACCGAUAGUGAACCAGUACCGUGAGGGAAAGGCGAAAAGAACCCCGGCGAGGGGAGUGAAAAAGAACCUGAAACCGUGUACGUACAAGCAGUGGGAGCACGCUUAGGCGUGUGACUGCGUACCUUUUGUAUAAUGGGUCAGCGACUUAUAUUCUGUAGCAAGGUUAACCGAAUAGGGGAGCCGAAGGGAAACCGAGUCUUAACUGGGCGUUAAGUUGCAGGGUAUAGACCCGAAACCCGGUGAUCUAGCCAUGGGCAGGUUGAAGGUUGGGUAACACUAACUGGAGGACCGAACCGACUAAUGUUGAAAAAUUAGCGGAUGACUUGUGGCUGGGGGUGAAAGGCCAAUCAAACCGGGAGAUAGCUGGUUCUCCCCGAAAGCUAUUUAGGUAGCGCCUCGUGAAUUCAUCUCCGGGGGUAGAGCACUGUUUCGGCAAGGGGGUCAUCCCGACUUACCAACCCGAUGCAAACUGCGAAUACCGGAGAAUGUUAUCACGGGAGACACACGGCGGGUGCUAACGUCCGUCGUGAAGAGGGAAACAACCCAGACCGCCAGCUAAGGUCCCAAAGUCAUGGUUAAGUGGGAAACGAUGUGGGAAGGCCCAGACAGCCAGGAUGUUGGCUUAGAAGCAGCCAUCAUUUAAAGAAAGCGUAAUAGCUCACUGGUCGAGUCGGCCUGCGCGGAAGAUGUAACGGGGCUAAACCAUGCACCGAAGCUGCGGCAGCGACACUAUGUGUUGUUGGGUAGGGGAGCGU
RNAcentral lists this ribosomal RNA (857 nucleotides) under Escherichia coli. RNAcentral's name for it is "partial 23S ribosomal RNA". It matches the Rfam family "Bacterial large subunit ribosomal RNA", at positions 378 to 1239 of the family's 2925-position model. The record is from RNAcentral. Lineage: Bacteria; Pseudomonadati; Pseudomonadota; Gammaproteobacteria; Enterobacterales; Enterobacteriaceae.